AUCUUUGUAGCUUAUUUAGAGCAUUUCAGUGAAGUUGAUAGGGAACUUUGCAGUCGAAGGUA
Molecule: transfer RNA, 62 nt
Filed under: Leofa pulchella
Lineage: Eukaryota; Metazoa; Arthropoda; Insecta; Hemiptera; Cicadellidae
Description: tRNA-Phe
Source: RNAcentral